GACACCUGAGGGACACCUGGGUGACACCUGGGACACCUGAGUGACAUCAGGGACACCUGAGGGACACCUGGGACACCUGAGGGACACCUGGGGGACAUCUGGGGGACACCUGGGACAUCCAGGUGACACCUGAGUGACACCAGGAACAUCUGAGGGACACCUGAAGGACACCUGGGUGACACCUAAGUGACAUCAGGGACACCUGAGGGACACCUGGGACACCUCAGUGACACCUGAGUGACAUCAGGGACACCUGAAGGACACCUGGGACAUCCAGGUGACACCUGAGUGACAUCAGGGACACCUGAGGGACACCUGGGACAUCUGAGGGACACCUGAGUGACAUCAGGGACACCUGAGUGACACCUGAAGGACACCUGGGUGACACCUGAGUGACAUCAGGGACACGUGAGGGACACCUGGGACAUCCAGGUGACACCUGAGGGACACCUGAAGGACACCUGGGUGACACCUGAGGGACACCUGAGGGACAUCAGGGUCACUGUGCCAGGUCCAGGUGACAGCCGUGUCACUGUCCCCGUGUCCAGGUGUCACUGUUCCCAUGUCCGGGUGUCACAGCCGUGUCCGGGUGUCACUGUUCCCGUUCCUGUGUCACUGUUCCUGUGUCCGGGUGUCACAGCUGUGUCCGGGCGUCUCUGUUCCCAUGUCCGGGUGUCACUGUUCCCAUGUCCAGGUGUCAC
This is a long non-coding RNA of Poecile atricapillus (Black-capped chickadee), 701 nucleotides long. RefSeq lists it as uncharacterized. Lineage: Eukaryota; Metazoa; Chordata; Aves; Passeriformes; Paridae. The record is from RefSeq and is a predicted model, not a curated record. The transcript is spliced from 3 exons.